This 230-nucleotide ribosomal RNA is filed under the name uncultured bacterium. RNAcentral's name for it is "partial 16S ribosomal RNA". It matches the Rfam family "Bacterial small subunit ribosomal RNA", at positions 104 to 334 of the family's 1533-position model. The record is from RNAcentral.
CGGGGUGGAGUAAUGUCUGGGAAACUGCCUGAUGGAGGGGGAUAACUGCUGGAAACGGUAGCUAAUACCGCAUAACGUCGCAAGACCAAAGAGGGGGACCUUCGGGCCUCUUGCCAUCGGAUGUGCCCAGAUGGGAUUAGCUAGUAGGUGGGGUAACGGCUCACCUAGGCGACGAUCCCUAGCUGGUCUGAGAGGAUGGCCAGCCACACUGGAACUGAGACACGGUUCAG